Molecule: unclassified non-coding RNA, 263 nt
Filed under: uncultured Onygenales
Lineage: Eukaryota; Fungi; Ascomycota; Eurotiomycetes; Onygenales
Description: sequence contains 5.8S rRNA gene, ITS2, 28S rRNA gene
Rfam family: 5.8S ribosomal RNA (bases 1-52)
Source: RNAcentral
AACGCACAUUGCGCCCCCUGGUAUUCCGGGGGGCAUGCCUGUCCGAGCGUCAUUGCAACCUUCAAGCGCGGCUUGUGUGUUGGGCUUCGUCCCCCGUGGACGGGCCUGAAAGGCAGUGGCAGCGCCCGAAUCUGGUGCCUGAGCGUAUGGGAAUCUUCUUUCCGCUCGAUGUGGCCCAGCGGACGCUGGUCUUCUCAACCAGUGGAUCUUGCAUCCUCUCCUCGGUUGACCUCGGAUCAGGUAGGGAUACCCGCUGAACUUAA